RNAcentral lists this non-coding RNA (29 nucleotides) under Mus musculus (house mouse). Lineage: Eukaryota; Metazoa; Chordata; Mammalia; Rodentia; Muridae. The record is from RNAcentral.
UAUGUAGAUUGUCAUGGCGCUCUGCUCAG